GAAAUAUUAAGGAAAGUGAAAGCUGCUAACUUCAUCACUAUAACGGUUAAACUCCGUUUAUAUUUCU
This 67-nucleotide transfer RNA is filed under the name Balta vilis. RNAcentral describes it as "tRNA-Ser". Lineage: Eukaryota; Metazoa; Arthropoda; Insecta; Blattodea; Pseudophyllodromiidae. The record is from RNAcentral.